GCCGGCGCUGGGCUGGACGUGUUCGCCGACGAGCCGCACGUGCCCGCCGAGUUGGUCGGCCUGGACAACGUGGUGCUGCUGCCGCACGUCGGCA
This 94-nucleotide transfer RNA is filed under the name Mycobacterium avium subsp. paratuberculosis. Its description in RNAcentral is "tRNA-Val". The record is from RNAcentral. Lineage: Bacteria; Bacillati; Actinomycetota; Actinomycetes; Mycobacteriales; Mycobacteriaceae. RNAcentral also lists the same sequence under 1 other name.